UAAAACUAUGAUUUUGAAUUCCGGAAUUACUUACAUUAACAAAAUAUGAUAGAAAUAGACAUUUGCUUUAGAAUGAGCUAAAUACUGAAUUUUUAUAUACACAGUAAGAUUUGGUAGCAGUUUAAAUAUUUUCAGAAAACUGAAUCCAAGACUCUUUAUUUAUGUUUACUGCAAUGCAAGGAGAGAGUCUUAAGUCAACUAUUAAUAUAUCUGUGCUAUAUUUUCCUCUAAGGAUUUGGGAACAGAAUUAUGCUGUUCUCAUGAAAACAAUAUUUGUCCAGCCCUUACAGAGGGUUGCAAUGCACUCUAUUACUUUUAAAACAAAAAUAUCACUCAGUUUAGAUUUAAAAUGUAAUGCUUUUCUCUUUUCUUUUCUUUUCCCCCCCUUUUUUUUUUCUUUUUUUUUUUCCUUUAUCUUUCAGCCCAAGAACUUGCCAGUCAAGAUGAAAAACUUCUUCUAAUGGAAUCCAGCUUGAAAGCAACUCAAGAGCAGCUAAGUGAGCAAACAGCAGAAACAGUUCACCAAGAACAGAACAGUAGAAAAUCACAGACAGAGCUGAAAGAAGAUCCUGAGAGAACGUAUUAUAGCUUCUGAUGAAGAAAUUAGUGAUUACAAGUGAGUAACUGCUUUUAUAGUAUUUGAUAAACAGAAGACAUUAAAGACAGCAGCAAAUUCUUUUAAUAAGUAUUAUGUUAACCAUUUAUUUCUGGCAAGAUGUAGUGUAAAUAUGUUCUAUAGCUACUGAAUAAACUAUUAAAUCUAAAAGAUUGAUUAAUGUGUACUUUAAAAUAUAUUUUGCACUUAAAAUUAAAAAAAAAUACUUUUGUUAGUGGUCUAUUUUACUUUUGGAAUGAAAAAGAGAAAAAGAUUCUAUGGUGUUGAAGUAGAAUAAUAUUUGUUACUUCUAUCUUAAUAUUAUUCUCAUCUUCCUAUUUUUAGCAACUGAAGUUUAAAUAUGCAUUUUAUUUUCUUUAUUUUUUUUAGAAGCUGUCUCUAAGCAAGAUGCUGCCAAAUAAAAGGAAAUUUAGUGUUUGAACUUUUAGUCACAACAGUAAGGCACAUAUGAGAUUGCAUACUAUACUUGAGAAAAGUUUAAACAGAAAAAUGUACCUCUAUUCUCAGAAAAAAAAAAAAUAGUAUCUAUAAGUUUAUAAGUUUAAAUGUUAGCUCUGAAGAUUUUAAUUAAAAAAUACUAAUCUUCAACAAAUAACUUUUAUAAAUUAUAAUGACUUUAAAUGUAUUUUUAUAUUGAGACACAAAAUGAUACAUUAUUCAGAUUUUUCAAGAUCUACAGUAUGGUAGAAAUGAUUCACUACUGCUUCUUUUUGCCUUAUUGUAUGCAAACUGUUACAUAUGUUAUAUUAAAAAAUUGUUAAAUGUAGAGACAGAAACUCAAGCUGUUUUAUAAUAUCAUAGAGUGCAGGUGAAUGCUUUAUAAAGAGAGCAUGACUGAAAUAAAGUUUAUUCAUUCAGUGGUAGGUUGAACAUUUAAAGAGAAAUGUUUUAUCUCAGAUUUGUACCAAGCAUCAAGGACUGUCUCUACAAAUCUCCUCUGAGAGAAGCUUUGCUAGGUUUAGAUGCAAUAAACAUAAUGUUUCAAAAUCACAAUAUGACAAUGUUAUAAUUUGUAUGCUCAGUGUAAAUAGCUUCUAGACUGGAACUUCACUCUGUAUUCAAAAGUUUAAAGCCAAUUUUUCUGCUGAAGACUGGGAAAAUCUCUAUGGGAAGAAAAAAACGCACAAGAACAAAAACAUUGUCUACAGUAAUAUGUCUUCAUUUCUUUAAAUAAAAUAGCUUGGUGGUUUUCAACUUCUAGUUAUACCUCUAAAGACCUUACUACUACUUCUCUAGGGACAGUAGUGUCACUGAUUUGCUUUCCUAACCUAUCUUGACUCCUUUGCUACAGUAAGCUUUCUUAACCAUUUCAAGUGAUUCUUCAGUUGCCAAAAUGCCAUGUUAUGCAAAUUCCUGUAGAUAUUUACUUCAAAAUUAAAAGGUUAAAAUCUUCUAGGAGUACUGGCUGUAAGUUUGUGUGAUACAGUGAUAGAAAUGGUAGGGGAUGUGGGAGGAUUGAAACCUCCAGCUGUAUCUGAUCAAAUGUGUGAUGAAAUACAACACUUGAUAGAGCAGGAAUUUUGCAAAAGUGAAAUGAGUUUCUCUGUUCUUCAAAUAGAAAGACAAAUGAUAAACACUACAAGACUUUGAGACACAUUUCUUUCUUUUUUUUUUUUUUUAUGAUUUCAUAGUAUACAUUUUGUGAAUAAAUAAAAACUUGGAUGAAUCUGUUAACAUACAAAAAUUCACUAAGCCACCUUUUUUUCUGUUUAUAUUUGAUUUUCUUUUUCUGCUCUAUUUUUCUAUUUCUGUUUUCACCAAACUAAUAUGUUUGUUGGCUUUGGAAGUUUGUUAAUUUAGUACAUGAGCAUAAUGUAUUUUGAGUUAGGGGAGUCUUCAGGUUACAGCUCUAUAGAUUGUCAAGAUUAUUUUUAUAGGCUCUUAGGUUAAUUUUUAUGUUUAAGUUUAUGACACUUGUUUUUUAAAAGUACUGUGAUAUUACUGCACGAUUAUAGAGAAGUAUUUGUUGAAUUAGGAAAAUUAACGCUGUAAAUUUAAAAUUUUAAUAAAGUUGAAAUUAUAAAGAUAAAAACUAAGAAACAAAAUUGAACAUUUUAGAUAUUAAAUUCCCCCUUAAAGAUAACAUUUUACUGAAUACCUGAAAACAAACAUGUUGUGCCAGACAGUAUCUGCUGUGCUCUGUUCCUUGAGAGGCAGAAAGAACAAUGGAUCUCUUUCCCCAUGGGUGUUUGGGGACAGGGAAUGUCGUAAAGGUUAUGUUCAUUUACUAUGAAGGGCACAGCACGUGUUGUAAAGUAACAUCCCUUUGGUGCUGACUUAUUCGAAGUCACAUAGUCCUGGACUUUACCUACCACCCUACUUAGUGAUUCUGGCAAAUGCAGAUGGUAUCAAGGUGAGAGCUUAGGACCUUACAAAGAAAAAUGCAGUGAAGCAUAAAUUGGUGGAUUUAAACUACCGAGAGAGUUAAGAUUCUGCUAUAGCUGUUGUGACGCCUAUAAGGAGAAAAGUCCAUUUUUGUAUGCUUUUAUUUCCUUGUAAUGUAAAUGUACAUUAAAGGAUAUUUCUCCUGGAAGUGGUGUAAAAGGAAAGUACUGAAGAGCAUUUAAAAAACAAUAAAACUAGCAUUAUUUGUGCUAGUUUACAAAAAUAUUUUUUUAUAAAAUAGAAUAAAAAUAUUUUACUAACUGUACUGGAUUCUCAAAAUGCAUGUAUUCCAGGUAUAACCAAAAUUUGUAAGUAGUCACAAGCUAUGUUUGCUAUAUACUUAUUCUGGAUGAAAUAAACCUAAAGUUACACACACUCCCCCCCAGCCUCCAAUAUAAGCCUGUUACACUUGAAAGAUUUGUUCGGAAUGUCCAGUGGGAACCUGGAAAUCGUAAUAAUUUGUAGUAUCGAUUGUGUGAAGCUAUGCAGCUGGGGCCUCUAGUGAAUAGACAGGAAUAGACAUUUUAUUGAUUAACUUUUACAGUCAUAUUUUCAAGACUCUGCUGCAACAUAAUUUUCACUUCCCAGCUUUGUGCUGCUGCAUCAUGAAACUUGAAUUCUUCUCUCUUAACAUUUACCCACCUGAGGGAAACAGUAUGGAGUUGUCUCUUUUAAGCUGCGCUCUGCAGAAAUGCAUAACACUUGACACAGUGAAUUCUUCAAAAUUUACCCUCCGCUGUUGCAAUAAAAUGAAAAAUAUUAAGAAGUGAUAUUAGUAUCACCCAAGUUGAACUGCCCACUCCAUAUGUUAGACGCCAUUGUUUCAUACUUCCUAGUAAUUUUAUCCACCUUUUUUUUUAUUUUUAUUUUCUAAGGGGCUAAGAUUGUGGCAAAAAAAAUUGCCACCCUCCUCACACCACAGAUUCCAGCAGUGCUUAAUGGAGUUUGUCUCAUAAUUAAAUAGGUGAUUUUAUUAGUUACUGGAGAAGAAUAAGUGCUUCCCUGAAAAUGUGAACUAUGAAUUAAAAAAUACUCAUUUUUAAGAGUGACAGCCUGUGUCAAAUAAAAUUCCUUGUAAAAGUACAGAAAGGGCAGUUUUUCAUUAUAAUUAUCAAUCUAUCAUUUAACAAUGUAAAAAUAUGUACCAAAAUAGUAAACAGACUAGUCUUAGAAAGCAUUAUUUCACAUUUCUGAAGUUAUUCGUUUUCAGAAAAGAAAAAAAAAAGGGGGGGGGGGGGCAUUUUGCCAUUUUGUAAAGAACUGUUGCAUAUUUUCUGAUUUUUUCCCAGUAUGAUUUGCAUUCUAAAUCAGAUGCCCAAGCCACUAUUCUUUCAUGCUGAUAAAAUUGCUGGUAAAAAUCUCAAUCUAUCAUUUUUUUUUUCAUCUAAUGACUGUUUCUUUGUUGUUGUUGUUGUUGUUAUUUUACAUGGUAACUUUUACUUGAAUGCUGUUUGCAAUGUAAGUUUGAUAACAGCUUUCACAAAAUAGGACAAAUAUUCACAUACAUUGCCACUGGUGCUAAUAUGAUUUAGACUUCUGUCAUUCUAUUAUUUUUCCUAGAGAUAUUUUAUUACUAGUGUCUUCUAAGUAUCUAAAUGUUUAAGAUAUUUGUGGUCAUGUUUCCUUUUGUCCUCCCGCUCAUCAGAUACAUCUCAGUGUGCACUGUAUGGAGACACCAAAGCAGAAAUACUCGCAUAGAUGACAGAAUGUUCAUCUUGUUUGCAGUUGUCUAAACUCUUACAGAAAAAAUCCUGAUUUCUCUUAAAAAAGCAGAAAACUGUGUGGAGAACUUUAAGGUAAGAAUAAAAGGAUCAAAGAAAGUUGGAGAACAGGUGCUACUCAAGGCCUCAGUAUCCACUGGACCUGAAAUAACCUUGAAACAGAAUCAUUCUCGAUCAGAUGAAUAACGAGAAAAUUUGUUAAGAGUGCAUAGAAUUAUAUUUUUCUAAUGGACAAACUUCAUUGUACAGCAAUAUGAGAAAAGAAAUAUCACAUCCUCAUGACUUACUAGACCUCAGUCUUUCAAACAUAUACAGAUGUCAGCAGUUUCAUGAAGCCAAUUACUCUAUAACCAUGUGAAAAACUGUUCAUGAGUUUGCAAGAUUUAAGAUGAAGAUUGUUUUAAUAUUAAGGAUUACUCAGUAUUUUAUUUAGUAGUUGCAAUGCUUUAUUAUAGAAGUUAUGUUGUAAAUCAUGAUGAUUGUAGAAAAUAAAUGAAACAACUGAUCAUUUUACUUCAGAUUCAUUUAACACAAAUCCAAAUGAAUGUGAUUUGUGCAUGUGAGAAUGCAUGUGCAUGCUCUUGUGGUUUAGUUAAAGAAGGAAGAAGUCAUGUUCCCUCUUCUGAAUGUUUGUAGAGAUGUUUAAGUGAGAACAAAGUAGUAAGUUAGUAAGAUUUUUAUGUUCUCAGUAGAUAACUACCAUAGUAGUCAGACCACUGUGAACAGCAUGUUAGCUUCAUUGCUCAAUUUCAUGUUUAUUUUUCUAUUUUUUUUUCUAUUUGGAAAUAUGCAUGAUGAGGCUUCUUGUAGUUAUAAAACAAACAAACAAACAAAAAAACCUUUUUAUCGUGAAUUAAAGCAAUGAAAAUUUAUAAGAAAUUAGAAAAAAAUAAUUGAAAUAAUUAAGAUAUUUAUCUAUAUUAAAUAAGUUAGAUAUCAUAUAUAGCAAAAUGUUUUUCAGGAAGUGCAAUUGCAGAAAUUCACAACUAGUUUUAUUUCUUGCAUUUGACCCGAGAAGUCUGAUUUAAUUGUAGAAAAAAUAAAGGCCAGAUAGCUCCAUUACUUUACCUGUUUCACCUUAAAAAAAAAAAAAAAAAAAAAAAAGGAAUAUCUGAACCAUUUUAAUUGACUUAUAUUGUUUAGUGGGAUUUUAAUGCAUAAGACAUAAAUCAUAAACAUAGAAGUAUAAAAGUAUAGCUAAGAAAUGAAAUGUACAUGAACUCUUUGCUUUUUUAAAAGUACUGCAGAAUUGAAGACUUGAAGUGAAAAUUUAUGUUUAUUGAAUUUCAUAGUACCUCUGACACAAACACAUAAAUAAAUUACUGAAAUAAUAGUAAUAAUAUAGCAGAUGACCAUCCUAGAGUAGAAUAUGAUCCUACACAUUUAUGUCUUCCUAGGCAGUAUAGUUACUACUGGGAAAAAUUGAAUUGAUUGCAACGGAAAUAUACCUGACAGUAAGCAUUUACAGUGGCAGGCAAAAUUAUUUAAGAAAAGAGAAUAUAAAAUUAAGAAAGACAGAUGGAGUCAUAAGAGUGAAAUACAAAUAGUCUGAAUCAGGAUUGAUUUCAACAUAAUGUGGUGGAGGAAUCCCCAUUUAUUGAUCAACUUUAAAGCCUAUGCACAGCACUUAAAAAGAUAAAGUAAGCAAGGUCAGAUAAUCAAAGCAUUUAAAUAGUAAAAACAGCAACUGCCACUGUAGACUGCUAAAAUAAAUCCAUAAUACAAAUUGCUUUAGCAAAAAGUGGAUGAGUAGCUGAUCUUCCUAUUGAACUUUAUACUGUUCAGUGACCACACUGGGAAAAGGAUUGGGAGAAAUGCCUUGAAGAUCAAUAUUGAGUGAGAUGUAGCAGGGAUUCAUUCUGAACAUGAAAGAAUUACAAGUAUGAGAGUAGAGAUCUUGAAGAAAUGUCAUCAAGAAGGGACUAUUCUUUUAAAAAUAUCACACAUAUUACAAAAAAGUGACAUUAGUUGAUAUUCUAUCAUGAUCUCAGAACACUGAAAUCUUAUUAAAUCAACUAUUAUUACAAAACAUGAAAAUAACAAAAAGAAAGUGAAUAAUAUUACUAAAAAUACUUUGAAAAAAUCAGUAAAUUUUGUCUUAAAAAAAAGAUUUUAAAAUAUAUUAAUUUAUUAAUUAAACUGGCACGUGCAUAUGCAAUUAACACAUUUAAGUAUUAUUAUUUCCUUUUUUUUUUUUUCUAAAUAACAUUUUAGUAGAUAUUUUUAUUGCAUUAUAGAAACUGGAAGGAUCUAUUGCAAAUGCUCCAAAUUUCAAUUCAACCUAAGCCUUUACAGGCUUUUCAUUAAAAUAAAUAAAUAGAUAGAGAGAUAGAUAUGUGCUAUCACUUUCAGUUCUACAUAACUUUCAUCCAGCACUGUUUGAGACGUAUUUAUGAGGAAAAAAUCCUAGAUGUAGCAGUACUACAGUAGCUCAUUGUCUUAUAUCUAUUGAAUCAAUUGACACUUGUAUUAUAUUAUCUCAUGAGAAGUGCUGAAUUUUCAUGUACUGUUGCCCCUUAUAAAUAUAGAAUACUAGGUUUUUGUUUGUUUGUUUGUUUCAUUUCUGGUCAAUCAUCUUACUAAUAAAAAAGUAUUCUUGCCAGAAAGUUAUUACUAUCAGUGUUUGAAAAUACAGGGCUGCUCUGAAAGUAAUGCUUUUGUUUUUUUUAUGUUGGCCAACAACAUCAGACACAAAUGUGGGAGGUAUGACAGUAGAUGUUGAACUUUCCCACCAAUAUUCUGUUACGUUUUGUUGCCCUGUGACAGAUGGCAACAGAGCGGGCAGUCUGUCAACAUGACACGUGACCUGGAAGUGCAUAUGAAGUAAAUGUAUGUCAUUGAAUUCCUCCAUGUGGAAAAAAUGGCACCCACUGACAUUCACUGGCACUUGCUGAAUGUUUCUCGAGACCCAACAGUGAAUGUGAGCACAGUCAGGUGGUGGGUGGUGUUUUUCAGCAAUGGUGACAGUGUGUCACUUCCUCUGGUGCAGAUUUUUAUGAGCACAGCAUGCAGGCUAUAGUUCAUUGCAGACAAAAAUGCAUAGUUCAUCACGGUAACUAUCUUGUAAAAUAAUGUUUUGUAGCUGAGAAUUUGCUGUAUCAAGUAGUGAUCAAAUAUCAAGUAGUGUUGUUGUACUCUAUGUAUUUCUUGUAGUUUCCAUGGAAAUAGAUACAAAGAAUUAUUUUUUUAGUGACCUAGGUAUUUGUAUUUGAAACAAUAAUACACACACACACACAAUUUCGAGUAUUUCAGAAAUAUAUAUAUAAAGUAGAUAUAGUAUUCAUAUUUUCUAUGAACACCCAGUUCAGCAAAAUAUAGUAGAAAACUGAGUCCCAAAAGCAUAAAGUUUCUUCACUAUUGUAAACCUAUAGUAUACCUUCUUGUAAUGAAUAAUUAUUUACAACUAGUAUUGGUUCCAUAUUUACAGUAGGAAUUGCUGAUUACAGCAAUUUCAAUAGCAAAUUUGUGAAACAAUAUUCACAGUUGUUAGAGAAAGGUCAGCUUCUUUGCAUUCAUUAGGAACUUGGAGGACCAUUCACCGUAUUUUUCCUUUGGGGUGCUUAUAGUUAUUGAUUUGUACAUAUCUAUAGGAAAAAUUAAUUACAAUUAUUUUUCAUUUACCACUGGAGGCUGUGUAAUAAUAAUUGUAAUAACAAAGUUCAGCACAAAAAGAGGAAAAAAAAAAAGAAAAAAGAAAAAAAAGAAGAAACAGCAAAUUAAAUAGCAAUAAUUUUAAAAAAUUAAUAUUGUUAGAUUUAACUUGUUUAAAAUAAUAUCUUCUGAAUUGCCUGAGGAAAUCUCUUAUAUAACUUCCAUUAAUAGUCACAAUGUUUUUAUUUUAAUGGAAGUGCGUAGGGCACUUACAGUGAUGUGAUAUAAGGUAUUCACAACUUUUCUCCCUAUGAGUGAUCUGUAAAGAUGCUUAUAAACUCAGAAAACAUUUAAUCACAUGCUUAAUUUUCCUUACAUAGGGAACUUAAAUCAUGUAACCAGUAUAGUUAUUAACUUCAAAAUGUGAUUUAAGUGAAAGAAUAAUCCUGGCAUAAUAAAUUAAAUUAUUUGCAUGCUUACAUUUUUACUCUAGUUCUUAAGGGUCUUUCAAGAACAAGAGCUAUAUAAAACCGAAUGGAAACAUUAUAGUCAUUGUCUCCUAACUCCUUAGGUCUGAAAAAUGUGAGUAAUGCCUCCAGAAAAGCUUAAAUGGGAAUCACGCCAAGAAUGUGGGACCAGGAAAGUCAAAUUGUCAGACUGAGACAAAACUUUGUGGAAAUGGAAGAAGAAGUAAAGAACUUAAGACUUACACACAGCAAUGAUGCUCAGAUGAUUGAUAAGAAUCUGAAUACUCUGAGAAAUGAGAUGAACUUGUAUGAAGACACAUAGGAUGGUAGUCAAAUGAGCUGAAGUUUAAAUAUGAACAACACAAUGCAACACUGAGGCCUGCAUGACUGUAAGAAUGUUAGGUAAGACCCCUUAGUUACUUUUAGACAACUGUUUCUCUGGAAUGUUUCUUUAAUAGAUAUUAAGUCCUUGAAGAGAAAUAGAUUUCUGUAGCUUUGUUUUGCCACUUCAUUUUCAAAUACUAAAUUGAAAAACUGUGUAGAAAGGGAAAUAAUAUCAUAGUAAUUUUAUCAUAAAAGAUACUCAUCAUUUUUUUAAUUAAAAAUAUUCUCUUGUGCAGCUAAUGUUUAGGUGAAGAAAAUGGUGUAGAAUUUUUCAAUACUGAAGUGUAUGAUUUCAAGUCUUGUUUUCAUCCUGUGCAAAGUCAAAUAACUUGUGGACAAAGAAUACAUAAUUUUCCAAAUCUGUGAACUGAAAAUAGAAUGACAGCAGCACGUUUUCUUGAAAACUAAAAAAGAAGAAGAAAUAAUAAAACAAAGAUUUUAUUUUAUUUAACCAUAAGUACUUAUGGAAAACAAAAACAAACAAACAAACAAAAAUGGAUAUUGCAAAUGCAGAUGGUGCACAUUGAUACUCAUAAUUACUAAAUACACUUUCCGUAUCUCAUAACACAUUAAUAUACAAUAUAAAAAGAGCUGGAAUAGUUAUAGUCAUUUUCUUUUUACUGCUAAAAAAUUGAAUUUAUGUCAGUUAGUGUAUUGAAAGCUCUGAAGUGUCACUAAAAAGUGAAGUUUAUAAUUAUUCGGACCUACUAUCAGAAAUUCCUUAAGAUUGUUACAGCUCUUACAAUAAAUAUUUGUCUGCCCCGUAUUUGUAAAAACAUACAAUAUUGGAACAACAACAACAACAAAAAGUUAAGUAUUGUUUUGAACUGGGAAACACUAAGUUGUGAUAGAUUUGCAGUAAUACUCUUGAAAAUAUAAUUUAAAUUCACACUUAUAUUUGUGAUAAAAAAUGCUUCAUGGCAUUUUGUAACACUUCUAUAGGGCAUCACUAUUACCUCGGUUUGUAUUGAGACACUGUUGCUGUUUGAAAAGUUAAUCAUGCAGUACUGCUCCAUUCCCCUGGGAGAAAGGUGCUGGGGAAGGAAAAAAUCCAAUUGAGGUAGCAGAAAUUAAUUUAUUAAAAGGAAUGUGAGAUAAUAGAGAAUAAAUAAGAGUAAUAAAUCAAAACAAACCAAAAAUAAAACUGGAGGAGAGAGAGAGAGUCCAUCCAAAUCUUUAUCAGCAGGCCCUCCACUGUUUGCUUCCUGUAAAAGACAAGAGAGUUCUUCCCUUGUAACCCAGAAUUGGAACCAUGUGGAGGCUGCUGGAAAAUUCAGUACAUCCCAGUGCAUCUUUGCCUGGGGGAGUCAGAACUCACAUGAGAUUGCUAGAGAUAAACAGGAAACACAUCUCCGCAGUGCACUGUGCACUCUGCGUCCAACAGCCUGUUGCAUGAUAUUACGAUAUGGAAUAUUGAUAUAACCAGAACAGAGAUACAGUUGCAAUAUUUAAUAACUUAUAAUAUUGGACAAAAUAAAAAAGCUGCAAUUAAAAAAAAAAAAAAAAAAGGCCUGAAUAAUAGUUGUGAUAAUAAUUUAGUUUUUAUUAUAGCAGUUUACAGUCAGAGAUUUCAUAUUUUCAGAAGAUGUGCAAUUAUUGUUAUUUUUAAUACUAUGAUUUUACUUGUGUGUAAUAUGAUUUUACAUUUAUAUAUGUACUUUGAGGUAUAAAAUUGAUUUUUUUUUUUUUUUUUGGAUCACAGGAUAGAAAAUUGUCUUUGGUAGCAGCAAAGAUUAAAAAAAUAGUAUCACUUAAAUAAAUACAUGUGAAGAAGCCAAAUUUGUAACAAAAAGGAAACCAGUAAAUGAAUUCACAAAAGCCAGCUACUACAUAGCAAAUCUCUGUAUAAAUGGGCUGAGAGUAUGUACCAAGAAGAAGGCAAGUAUCUAUUCUUUUUCAAUGGGAAAAACAAAAAACAAAAAACAAACAAACAAAAAAGCUAUUUCAUCCUUACUUUGGGAAAAAGGCACACAAAACCAAAGCAAAAAAUGCCUCACUGACUGCAUCUGUCCAUUCUGUACUGUAAUUUGUUUCCCGCUAUGAAGAUUUAGGUUAAAUUCAUUUCUAUUAUUAAAGACAAAUAAGCUGCAAAAGAACUAAUUCUCUGUCUCCAUCUUUUACAUGUAUAUUUAUUCAUAUGAAUGCACUUUUGUUCAUUUAUUUUUACUUCUACCUUGACAAAGCUGUGCAAAAAAUAACAUAGUUUGAUUACUCAUAAUUUGCAUUUGUGUAAUUAAUAGGGAUGAAAAGGAUUAAAAUCAAUGGAGAAAUAUUUAUUUGUUUAAAUUGGAUAACUAUGGAAAAACUAUUUGGCAGGAAUGAAAGCUUUUCCAUCUAAAUUACGUCAUAUAAUUUAAACUGUUUUAGUUUUUAAGCUUAAAAAGCAUGAAAAUCACAAAGCAGAACUGGAAGAAGACACAGAAAAAUACUGCCAUGUAAAGGAAGAGCCUUCAGAACAAGGGUCUCAGCUCAAAAUUAGCUAGCUGGUCCAUUCUGGAGUGGGAAAACUGAUAAAAUGCCGCAGUACUCAGGUAAUACCCUUGAUACAAUAUGUGGAAGGGAGACAGUGUUUGAAGUAAUAUCAGUGAAUGUAUCAGAGUACUCUCAGAGAAUUUUUCCAACGGAUAAGGAAAUAUUAUUUAAAUAAUACUAACUGUAAAAUUCACUCAUGAGUGAUUGAGAAAACAUGAGAAAUAUUGUUGAAAAUAUCAAGUCAAUAUAACAGCAGCAUUUCUUCUUUUAAAAGUGUUGUGGGUGGGAUUCACCUUGUUGAACUGGAGGUAGGAAUAUUUGAAAUAGAUGUCUAAGUUCCAUUGCUGUCAUUGGAGACUUAAUCAACUCAGUGAGUGAAAUCAAGGGCUAUCAAUACCUUUCAUUACCCAAAGUGAACCUACAGAAAAGCUGGAGAGUGACUCUUUAUCAGGUAGCAUUGUCAUAGGACAAGGGAUAGUUGCCUUCAACUAAACUAGAUUAGACAUUAGAAAGAAAUUCUUCACUAUGAGGACAGUGAGAUACUGAAAUAAAUUGUCCAUAGAAACUGUGGAUGCUCCAUCUCUGGGAGCAUUCAAACGUAGGUUGAGUGAAGCCCUUGGCAACUUGAUCUCAUGGAAGGUGACUGUGCUAUGGCAGGGAAUUAGAACUAGAUGAAUUUAAGUUCUCUUCCAAACCAUUUUAUGAUUCUAUGACUAAAUAUUGAUCCAAUCAAUAUUAAGGUUUUCAGAGGAGCUGAAAAUCAAUCCCAGUGACAAUAUUAUUCAUUGUGAUAGAACACAUUCACACACCGUAAUGCAGACAUCCAAAUUUGGGUAAGAAUAAUCAGAUUAGAAAAGUUAGCCUUUUUGCAGCAAUUCAUUAUAUAAUACGGAAUUAUUUUAUUUAUUUUUGUUACUAAUAAGAGUACUAGAUGUUUCACAAGCAUAGAUACUGGUCAAUUAUCUGAGCAAUAUCCAAUAUAUAAAUACACAAAGUUAGAAGGAAAUGAUCAAUGCCAGAGAGAAAUAAAAGUUAAAAUAAUACAUGCUUUUUCUUCUGUGUCUGAGAGAAUGUGAGUAGAUGUGAAAGUUGGAAAACCAAAAGAAUUAGUAGUAUGACAACAUUCCUUUUCUACCCUAGCAUUGUCAAAAGAUAACAAGAUUAAUUCUCUGCUGUAGUAUUUCACUACAGUAGUGUGUUAAUUUGAGGGGCUUGGCUGAGCCUUAUUCAGCAUAUAAUUAGAAUUUACUGAACUUUAAUUUCUUAUCAUCUUUAGGCUGCAUUAUCAAAGUGUUUAUAUUGAAACAUUCAAAUGUUCAGUUAAAAAUAAACUUCAGUUUGUCAAGGAUACAUUGUAUACAAAUUCUGUGGAAAUAUUUGAAUAAAAUUGUUCACUUUUGCUUUGUGAGAAAUGCUUUGCACUUUACAUAUUUAUAACAUAAUGUCAUUAGAGUAUGUAUCUUAGAAAUAUAGCAAUUUCCUGGUGAAUUUAUUGAAUAAAUGCUUAUCUAAUAAGUAAUUUGAGAGUAGAGAAAGAUCUAAUGAAAAGCUAAAUACACAGUGAAAUCCUAAUCAAGCAAUUGAAAUAGUUACUCAUGAUAAAACUAAGAUUAUCAGAGUAUCAGAACACAAAUUACUCCAUUAAUCUUUUGAAUUAGUCAGUUCUUAUUUUCUGAAGCUAAGUAACUUGGGAAGGUACACUCAAGGUUUCAUCUUUCUGAAGACUGUAUUUAUUACCUUUACUUUCAUAAAGAGUUCAUUAGAAAGAAUAUUACAGUGAAAUACGUUAACUUUUUAGCCUGUUUUAAUGAGGUCAUGUGAGUCUUUAAUUAUCUGACAUAAAACUGCUUAGUUUUACGUAGUAUCUACAGAUACUAAUUAGUAUCUACAUAUAUACAUUAGUAUCUACAUCAAUUAGUAUCUACAGAUAUUAACGGAUUCAUAUGUCAUAAAGCCAGAAGAAACGCUGUUAUUGAAUCUUAUAUGUGGCACAAUGCAGGCCACAGGACUUCACUGAAUUGAGUAGUUGUAAGAGAUUAUUCUUUUAUAUGAUUGACUCAAAGUUUGCUGAGGAACAAGUCCAGGCAAGUCCUGGGCAAAGGUACAGAAAUCUUCUGUCUGGAGGACACUGAUGGACAGGUCCUGGCUAAAGGAUUGUGAAGUCCUUUAAGGAGCACAGAUGGACGAGGCCAGGGGCAACGAGAGAGGGAUAAGCUGCUGAUAAUGGCUGAGAAAUGGUCUUUUGUGUGGACUUAUCUAGAAGAAGAUGGCCAUCUCAGGAGCUACGCACAUGACUCUUGCUCAAGCACCCAGGGAUGUCACGUAGGCAGGAAAAAGAGGAGGAUAAAAGAGGGUCUAACAACCAUGAGGAGAGGGUUUCUGCCAUCAGAUCCCUCACCACGACGGACUCAAGGUUUCUGCCAUCAGAUCCUUCACUACGGACCAUAUGCUGAUGGACUUCCCUGGGCCUGCUACCUGAGACCUGCUGCUUCCUCCCAGACUUACUCUGCGGCUUCUUCCUGGACCCACCCGGUACCUGCACCCUCUCGUUGCCCAAGACCGGCCUCGCUGCUCCUGCCCUUCAGCCUCGGACCAUCAGAACAUCGUGCAACAGGACUACUGCUGGUGGUGACUAUCCCCGCUUUAUGCAAUUCUUGCUUCUUUCUAUCUUUUCUAUCGCUCGCCUUCCCUUUCCCAUCACCCCAAUCCAUAAUAGUGUCCGUCCUCCCCUUUCUUCAUCUCCCUUAUUAACAUAUGUAAUAAACUGGUCGGACCAACAUUUGAACCGUUGUUUCUUAAUCUCACGCCGGGCAUACAUAUUUCAAAGAACCUCCUCUCCCUCCUAUAAAUUGGAGUGAGACAGUAGUACAUUAUGUCUAAGUAAAUGUGAUUAAAAUGGAGUAUAUUAAAAUGGAGCAUACAUUUUUUAUACAUUCUUGACUUUAAAUAUACACAAUGUUAGAGAAUUCAUUACGGUCUUUCACAGGUUGCCUCAAUAGUUAGUAAAACAUAUAGCAUGCUGACUGUUCAUCAUUUUAGCAUCUUUCUUGGAAUGUUAUACAAAUCUCAACAUAUAUAAAAAUAGUUUUUAUGUCAUCUUUAUCAAUAACAUUUGAAAUAUCAUAAAACUGAAAGAGCAGAUAGUUUUACAAGAUGUGUUUACAGUAAAUCCACAGUAACUUUGGUUAUUAUAUUAAUGCACAUUUGUUAUAUGUAUCUACAGCUAACACAAAUUACUGUGGAAUUAUGAUAUUAGCUGUCCUGAUAUUUUGCUUGAAAGAGAUAAGUAACUACCCUCCUUGAAUUACUUGAAUCACCCUCUUAAAACCUAAGAAAUAUUAGCACAGAAUUAACAGAUAAAUUAAUCUGUACUGUUUUGGAAGUUUUUAAGGUUGUCAAGACCAAACACUGUAAAUAUGGCCUAGAAAUUCUUUUCAAAAGCACUUCAAAAGCACUUAGAUAUGUUUUACGUAGACAAUUUGAAAUAUAUUUAUACUUAUGUGAUUGCAGUCACUUUUAUCCUAAGACUAAAAUACCAUACAUUCUUCAGUUAUAAUAGAAUAUUUCACAUGAAGGGUUCUACAGAGAUCAUCAAGUCCAACUGCCUGACAACUUCAGAGGUAACCACAAGUUAAGCGUAUUACUGAGGGCAUUAUCCAAAUGCAUCUCAAGUAAUAUUAGGCAUGGGACAUCAGUCAUCUCAUUGCAGUGAGAUAAAAGCCUGUUCCACUGUUUGAUGAUAAAUAAAUGUCCAGUAUAGUCUGAAACUCCCCUGGCACAGCACAGCUGUGUGCCACUCCUGUGCAACCUGCAAUCAGCACAGAAGAUACCAGGGAGCAGAGACCAGCACCUCCCUCUGUACUUCCUCUCCUCAAGGAGCUGCAGAGAGCAGUAAAGUCAUCUUGUAGACUCCUAUUCUCCAGGCUAGACAGUCCAAGAGUCCUCACCCUUUCCUUACUAGACAUGUCUUCCAUUCUGAUUACCUGCUUUGUUGCCAUUGUCUGGACACUUUUAGAUAUCUUAAUAAUGUUUUUAUGUUGUGGGGCAUACAUUAUUCAAGGUGAGGUUGCACCAACUCCAAAUAUAUCAGGACAAUCACCCCAAAAAGCAGUUUGCCCUUUUGGCAACCAACACUGCUGGUUCAUACUGAGCCUGCUAUCAUCAGCCCUCCUAGAUCAAUUUGUUCUGAGCUGCUCUCCAGCCAUUCAUCUCUCAGUUUGUGUCAUCUCUCAGGUACUGUGCCAGGCAUAGUACCUGACAUUUACCUUUGUUGAACUUCACGCCACUGUUUCCCCAGUGCUCCAAUCCAUCCACAUUGCUCUACAAGACCUCAGCAACACAACUGACCAUCUACUAGCCAAAUGGGUCUCCAUCACUACAACACUUUGAGUUCUACCAUUGAGCCAGUUUAUCACCCUGCAUAGUGUGAACAUACUUAUCUCACAGUUGGACAAUUUGUACAGAAAGUUGCCAUGAAGGAUCAUAUCAAAGGCUUUACUGAAUUCUAGAAAGAUGACGUACGCUGCCUUCCUUCAUCCACCAAGUGGGUAAUCUUAUAAAAAGAAAUCAAAGCAAUGAAGACAGGGCUUUCCCUUCAUGAACCCAUAUUGACUAUGCCUGACAAUGGCUUUGUCCUUCAAGUGCCUUUCAGUAACACUCACUAUAAUCUUCUCCAUAAAUUUUUAGGGUACUGAAGUUAGGUUAACAAGUCUGUUACAGAUUUGUUACUUUUGUUACUUUGUUUUCAGUAAGUUCUUUCUCUUUAUUUUUUGUUUGUUUGUUUAUUUUACUUUGUUUUGGGAAGAGGAGAGCUUGUGGUGGGGAGUGGGGUUUUGUCAUCUACGUAGUGCUAUUGAAGAUAAUACUACUUUUUUAUAUUUAAACAUUUGAUCCUCAGAAAGUUUCAUCCUAUUCUUUCAUGUUUACGAGAUUUUUCUCUCUUCAAACACUUUUUUUCUUUGUAUGAACAUUUGCAAAUGAGUGUGUACAUGCAUAUCAAUGACCAUGAGUACAUGGGGCUUAUCUGUUCCUCAAAAAUAUGACUUGGUCAAAAUUACUUUUGCAUAAAGAACAACUGAAUUUCAGCAACGUAAUCCUUUCCUACUCAUAAGUCUUAAAUUAAUGUGCAAAAUUGAAUUAAUCAGCAUAUUUAAUUACAAUUUUUUUGUUAAACUUAUUUAUCUGUGAAGGUGUUAUGUAUAAUUUUUGAAAGUUAAUGGAUACAUUAUUAAGCAAAGAGUAACAGCUCCAACAAACCAGAAUUAUUUAAGUCUCUGAGGAAAACUAAGAUUUCCCUUCUGAUUCAUCUUUAAAAUCCUGUUUUCAACAUCUUUGCAAAGUUAAUUUUAGUUUUUUAAAAGCCAGGUAACUUAAAAUAAUUUUUCUGCCCUUCAUUCCUCUUUUGUUUAUCGUGUUUUUCAGAAUGUUGUUCCAUUAGUGACUUUGAAGUCAGUGAUGUUAGAUCAAAUUAUUCAAAUUACUAGCUUUUGUUGUUGCUGGUGCUGUUUUGUGGGUUUUUUUUCUUUUGUUUUGUUUUGUUUUGAUUUUCCUCUUAUGAAUGUAAUUUACUGGUGUAGUGGUUAUUAGAACAGAACUUCACAGUGUUUGUGUUUUGUCUUAAUUAUAAGUAAUUUUAUAUCACUAAUAUUAUCAGUAAACUUGUUUGUGUAUAUUUUACUCAAUGAAAUGUUAAUGCCAAACUUUGAACAGAAACUGUACUGACUACUUCUAUCUUAAAACAGACAGUACCAGUAGCUGAUUGUUUUACUUUUGUUUCCUUUCAUCAAACAACUCUAUUCAGAAGGUGAAAAUUUCCUUUUCUUCUUUUUGAUGGAAUUUCUUUUCAUUUCUCCCCUUUCUUUUCAUAGUUUUACAAACGGUCAGUUACACAGUUUAUUACAAAAUAUGUUGAGGCACAUGCCUAGAAGGUGUGUUGAAUGGCAUACUCCAUCUACUUGUGGCAUCUAUGCAUAUUAAGUUGUUAAAAGCAUGUUUGUCAAACUUAUAUGACAGUUUUAGCAAUUGUAAAAACGCAUAUUUGCUAUGCUAUGCUAGAAGAAGAGGAAGAAAAAGAAGAAGAGAAGUGAAAAAAGAGAGGAGAGGAGAGGAGAGGAGAGGAGAGGAGAGGAGAGGAGAGGAGAG
This 17777-nucleotide long non-coding RNA is filed under the name Gallus gallus (chicken). Lineage: Eukaryota; Metazoa; Chordata; Aves; Galliformes; Phasianidae. The record is from RNAcentral.